CAAUGGCGUAUAUUAAAGUUGUUGCAGUUAAAAAGCUCGUAGUUGGAUUUCUGGCAGGAGCGACCGGUCGGCCCAUUGUGGUGUGUACUAGUGUUGCAUCUGGCCAUAUUUGUGGAGAGCGUGUGUGGCAUUAAUUUGUCGUGCUCGGGACCCGCAUCGUUUACUGUGAGAAAAUUAGAGUGUUCAAAGCAGGCUUAUGCCUUGGAUAUGUUAGCAUGGAAUAAUAAGAUAAGACUUUGGCGGUCUAUUUUGUUGGUUUGCACGCCAUUGUAAUGAUUGAUAGGGACAGUUGGGGGCAUUCGUACUUGACAGUCAGAGGUGAAAUUCUUCGAUUUGUCAAAGACGAACUAAUGCGAAGGCAUCUGCCAAGGAUGUUUUCAUUGAUCAAGAACGAAAGACAGGGGAUCAAAGAUGAUCAGAUACC
RNAcentral lists this ribosomal RNA (424 nucleotides) under uncultured eukaryote. Its description in RNAcentral is "bacterial SSU rRNA". It matches the Rfam family "Eukaryotic small subunit ribosomal RNA", at positions 592 to 1016 of the family's 1831-position model. The record is from RNAcentral.